Molecule: long non-coding RNA, 1399 nt
Filed under: Cyanistes caeruleus (blue tit)
Lineage: Eukaryota; Metazoa; Chordata; Aves; Passeriformes; Paridae
Description: lncRNA (ENSCCEG00000001951.1)
Source: RNAcentral
UGGAGCUCUGGAACAGCAACUGUUAAACCCUUGCUAUUCCCAGAGGGAAGCCUUCCCUGAGGCACAGCCCAGGCCCACCCAGGCCCUUGCAGGGCUUGGCACAAGGAGAGCAGUGGCUUUCUCACUCACCCGUCGCGUGUCCAUCCGCUCCUUGGCACAAACAGUGUCCAAAGUGCAGUGUCCAAAGGCCCUUGGCCUUCGCAGGGUUUAACCCUUUAUGUUCAAACACCCUUGGCCUUCGCAGGGUUUAACUCUCAGUGCCUAAAAGGCCUUGGCAUUUGCAAAGUCUAAACCUCAGUGUCCAAUGGAGUUUGCUUUUGCAGGGUCCAAACCCCAGUAUCUAAAGGCCCUUGGCCUUUGCAGGGUCCAAACCCCAAUCUCCAAAGGUUCUUGGCCUUUGCAGGGUCAAUAGCGAUCAAACACGAUCAAAGUGCUGUUGGCCGUUGCAAGGUCCAAGCCCCAAUGGUCACAAGCUGUUGACAGCUCCAUGGUCCAAACCCAAAUAGCCAAGAGCUGUUGAUUGUUUCCAGGGUGCAACCCCCAACAUUUCAUGGACUGUUGACGGUUGCCACGGUCUGAGUCCCAACAUUGCAGGGACUGUUGGAGAGGCCCUUCCCGGCUCUCGCCUCAUCCCUGCUCCCUGCUGGCCCAGGCACCAGCCCUGCCUCCCCCAUGUCCCCACAACCCUGCUGGGCAGCUGGGCAGGGACCCAGCUCAUGAGUUCCAAGUUCCUGCUCCAGGCAGCAUCAGUUUGCAGAGCCUCAUCGGACAGAGCAGUUUUCUCCGAGGACAACUGAAGCAGCUCAACACCCAGAUCCAGGCCCUGCAGGAUGCAGUGACAGAGAAGGCAGCUCAGCAGGACACUCGAGAGAAGGAGCUGCUGCAGGAGCUGGAAAAGUCCCAAGCAGGAGAACAGAGCUUGAGGGACGCUGUGCAUGUGCUGCAGGUUGAGAUGUCUGAGCUGCGUCUGAGGCUCCAGAGCUCUGAGGAAAGAGCAGAGGCCAUGGCCACACACUGUGAGGCCAUGGAGAUGGAGCUGAGGAUGGCUCAGGCUGACAACAACCAAAUCAAGGCCUGCAAUCAGGAGCUGCAGACACUGUUGGAGGAAACUCAGCAAGGUACAACUUCUCUCCCAUCCAUUGCCCCAUCCUGUUCCACCAGCGGGGAUCUCUGAUCCCAUGCAGAGGUAAAGGCCUUUGCCCAGAGAUGGCAGACAGGAAAAACAACCAGCACGAGACUUAUCCAUCCAGGCGCCAGUCAAAGUUUAUCUCAAGGAUGAUGCUGUGGCUGGCGGUGCCAACUGGCUCUGCUGUGGCUGAUCCCAUACACAGCUGGUGCCUUUCAGGUGCUGUGUCUGUGCUAAGCAGCUGAAGCUGGAUGCCUCAGCUCAAUUCCCCCA